GUAUCUUCAUCUAAAUAUUAGUAAAAUGUUCGCUCCAUAUUAAGCUACAACAACUGAAUCCAGCCUGGUCAGGUUCAGAAUAGACUAGAUUGAUCUUUAUAUCUGAACCUGCCUUCUGAGUUCUGAUCUUUUUGACCUUGUUCUGAUACUAACAAACAAAAGUAAACAUCCAGCACACUAUGAAGUAUUCAUUAUUAGCUUUAAAGAUAC
This 210-nucleotide long non-coding RNA is filed under the name Panax ginseng (ginseng). RNAcentral describes it as "long non-coding RNA (PGIN_LNC012241)". Lineage: Eukaryota; Viridiplantae; Streptophyta; Magnoliopsida; Apiales; Araliaceae. The record is from RNAcentral.